UCUUCAGCCUGUAGAUGGCGCUGCGGUUGAGGGCGGAGGUGAUCUCCAGCACGCCGUUGUAGUUGUUCAGGCAGCGGCAGAUGUCGGCCACCGCCACCCACUUCUCUAUGGAGCUGGCCCUGGAGCCCACAUCCGUGGGUCACCUAGAGAUUACAAUACCCAGGACCACAGAUUCAGCCCUCUGAAUGGAGAGGAAAACUACAAUGUGACAACAAUUGGGCCUCAUCAGGAGUGAAAUAUGAGAAGACAGAUAGCACCACACUCAGAAAGACACCAAGGUCUCCCUGUGUCUCAAAAAAAUCAGUCAGAAGGCAAACUGUGUGACAGCUGUCCAGGUUCCACAAUUAAAGGGG
Anguilla rostrata (American eel) is the source of this 353-nucleotide long non-coding RNA. RefSeq lists it as uncharacterized. The record is from RefSeq and is a predicted model, not a curated record. NCBI's taxonomy places the organism in Eukaryota, Metazoa, Chordata, Actinopteri, Anguilliformes, Anguillidae. The transcript is spliced from 3 exons.